Molecule: long non-coding RNA, 362 nt
Filed under: Helianthus annuus (common sunflower)
Lineage: Eukaryota; Viridiplantae; Streptophyta; Magnoliopsida; Asterales; Asteraceae
Description: sRNA HanXRQr2_Chr13g0596451
Source: RNAcentral
AUGGAGGAACUCAAGCUUUUAAAUAGUUCAAAAAGCGCCUCCACUUCAUUAACAGAAGAUGAAAAGUUACAAUUAGAUCCAGAAGCAAGGCGAGAAAGCUGAUGAUGAUCAAAGCGAAGUUUCUUGGAAACAGAAGGAGGGUUGAAAUCGAAGCAACAAGAGAAGGUGAAUAAUAUGACUUCAGCUAUGAUAAUAAUUGGGGUAAAUGCAGCGCAAAUCUUGUCUCCAAUGUUCCAUCUCUUUACAAAACAAACAUUCAUUCAUUCAAUUCAAAACACACACAAAAUAAUAAUAAUAAUAAUAACAAUAAUAGUAAAAGAAUUAGAGGGAGGGGAAUUGUACCGAUGAAUCAUUUGAUGUGU